CGAACGCUGGCGGCGUGCCUAAUACAUGCAAGUCGAGCGAACAGAAGGGAGCUUGCUCCCGGAUGUUAGCGGCGGACGGGUGAGUAACACGUGGGUAACCUGCCUGUAAGACUGGGAUAACUCCGGGAAACCGGAGCUAAUACCGGAUAGUUCCUUGAACCGCAUGGUUCAAGGAUGAAAGACGGUUUCGGCUGUCACUUACAGAUGGACCCGCGGCGCAUUAGCUAGUUGGUGGGGUAAUGGCUCACCAAGGCGACGAUGCGUAGCCGACCUGAGAGGGUGAUCGGCCACACUGGGACUGAGACACGGCCCAGACUCCUACGGGAGGCAGCAGUAGGGAAUCUUCCGCAAUGGACGAAAGUCUGACGGAGCAACGCCGCGUGAGUGAUGAAGGUUUUCGGAUCGUAAAGCUCUGUUGUUAGGGAAGAACAAGUGCGAGAGUAACUGCUCGCACCUUGACGGUACCUAACCAGAAAGCCACGGCUAACUACGUGCCAGCAGCCGCGGUAAUACGUAGGUGGCAAGCGUUGUCCGGAAUUAUUGGGCGUAAAGGGCUCGCAGGCGGUUUCUUA
RNAcentral lists this ribosomal RNA (572 nucleotides) under Bacillus pumilus. Its description in RNAcentral is "bacterial SSU rRNA". It matches the Rfam family "Bacterial small subunit ribosomal RNA", at positions 30 to 585 of the family's 1533-position model. Lineage: Bacteria; Bacillati; Bacillota; Bacilli; Caryophanales; Bacillaceae. The record is from RNAcentral.